Molecule: ribosomal RNA, 2787 nt
Filed under: Escherichia coli
Lineage: Bacteria; Pseudomonadati; Pseudomonadota; Gammaproteobacteria; Enterobacterales; Enterobacteriaceae
Description: bacterial LSU rRNA
Rfam family: Bacterial large subunit ribosomal RNA
Source: RNAcentral
AGCGUACACGGUGGAUGCCCUGGCAGUCAGAGGCGAUGAAGGACGUGCUAAUCUGCGAUAAGCGUCGGUAAGGUGAUAUGAACCGUUAUAACCGGCGAUUUCCGAAUGGGGAAACCCAGUGUGAUUCGUCACACUAUCAUUAACUGAAUCCAUAGGUUAAUGAGGCGAACCGGGGGAACUGAAACAUCUAAGUACCCCGAGGAAAAGAAAUCAACCGAGAUUCCCCCAGUAGCGGCGAGCGAACGGGGAGCAGCCCAGAGCCUGAAUCAGUGUGUGUGUUAGUGGAAGCGUCUGGAAAGGCGCGCGAUACAGGGUGACAGCCCCGUACACAAAAAUGCACAUGCUGUGAGCUCGAUGAGUAGGGCGGGACACGUGGUAUCCUGUCUGAAUAUGGGGGGACCAUCCUCCAAGGCUAAAUACUCCUGACUGACCGAUAGUGAACCAGUACCGUGAGGGAAAGGCGAAAAGAACCCCGGCGAGGGGAGUGAAAAAGAACCUGAAACCGUGUACGUACAAGCAGUGGGAGCACGCUUAGGCGUGUGACUGCGUACCUUUUGUAUAAUGGGUCAGCGACUUAUAUUCUGUAGCAAGGUUAACCGAAUAGGGGAGCCGAAGGGAAACCGAGUCUUAACUGGGCGUUAAGUUGCAGGGUAUAGACCCGAAACCCGGUGAUCUAGCCAUGGGCAGGUUGAAGGUUGGGUAACACUAACUGGAGGACCGAACCGACUAAUGUUGAAAAAUUAGCGGAUGACUUGUGGCUGGGGGUGAAAGGCCAAUCAAACCGGGAGAUAGCUGGUUCUCCCCGAAAGCUAUUUAGGUAGCGCCUCGUGAAUUCAUCUCCGGGGGUAGAGCACUGUUUCGGCAAGGGGGUCAUCCCGACUUACCAACCCGAUGCAAACUGCGAAUACCGGAGAAUGUUAUCACGGGAGACACACGGCGGGUGCUAACGUCCGUCGUGAAGAGGGAAACAACCCAGACCGCCAGCUAAGGUCCCAAAGUCAUGGUUAAGUGGGAAACGAUGUGGGAAGGCCCAGACAGCCAGGAUGUUGGCUUAGAAGCAGCCAUCAUUUAAAGAAAGCGUAAUAGCUCACUGGUCGAGUCGGCCUGCGCGGAAGAUGUAACGGGGCUAAACCAUGCACCGAAGCUGCGGCAGCGACGCUUAUGCGUUGUUGGGUAGGGGAGCGUUCUGUAAGCCUGUGAAGGUGUACUGUGAGGUAUGCUGGAGGUAUCAGAAGUGCGAAUGCUGACAUAAGUAACGAUAAAGCGGGUGAAAAGCCCGCUCGCCGGAAGACCAAGGGUUCCUGUCCAACGUUAAUCGGGGCAGGGUGAGUCGACCCCUAAGGCGAGGCCGAAAGGCGUAGUCGAUGGGAAACAGGUUAAUAUUCCUGUACUUGGUGUUACUGCGAAGGGGGGACGGAGAAGGCUAUGUUGGCCGGGCGACGGUUGUCCCGGUUUAAGCGUGUAGGCUGGUUUUCCAGGCAAAUCCGGAAAAUCAAGGCUGAGGCGUGAUGACGAGGCACUACGGUGCUGAAGCAACAAAUGCCCUGCUUCCAGGAAAAGCCUCUAAGCAUCAGGUAACAUCAAAUCGUACCCCAAACCGACACAGGUGGUCAGGUAGAGAAUACCAAGGCGCUUGAGAGAACUCGGGUGAAGGAACUAGGCAAAAUGGUGCCGUAACUUCGGGAGAAGGCACGCUGAUAUGUAGGUGAAGUCCCUCGCGGAUGGAGCUGAAAUCAGUCGAAGAUACCAGCUGGCUGCAACUGUUUAUUAAAAACACAGCACUGUGCAAACACGAAAGUGGACGUAUACGGUGUGACGCCUGCCCGGUGCCGGAAGGUUAAUUGAUGGGGUUAGCGCAAGCGAAGCUCUUGAUCGAAGCCCCGGUAAACGGCGGCCGUAACUAUAACGGUCCUAAGGUAGCGAAAUUCCUUGUCGGGUAAGUUCCGACCUGCACGAAUGGCGUAAUGAUGGCCAGGCUGUCUCCACCCGAGACUCAGUGAAAUUGAACUCGCUGUGAAGAUGCAGUGUACCCGCGGCAAGACGGAAAGACCCCGUGAACCUUUACUAUAGCUUGACACUGAACAUUGAGCCUUGAUGUGUAGGAUAGGUGGGAGGCUUUGAAGUGUGGACGCCAGUCUGCAUGGAGCCGACCUUGAAAUACCACCCUUUAAUGUUUGAUGUUCUAACGUUGACCCGUAAUCCGGGUUGCGGACAGUGUCUGGUGGGUAGUUUGACUGGGGCGGUCUCCUCCUAAAGAGUAACGGAGGAGCACGAAGGUUGGCUAAUCCUGGUCGGACAUCAGGAGGUUAGUGCAAUGGCAUAAGCCAGCUUGACUGCGAGCGUGACGGCGCGAGCAGGUGCGAAAGCAGGUCAUAGUGAUCCGGUGGUUCUGAAUGGAAGGGCCAUCGCUCAACGGAUAAAAGGUACUCCGGGGAUAACAGGCUGAUACCGCCCAAGAGUUCAUAUCGACGGCGGUGUUUGGCACCUCGAUGUCGGCUCAUCACAUCCUGGGGCUGAAGUAGGUCCCAAGGGUAUGGCUGUUCGCCAUUUAAAGUGGUACGCGAGCUGGGUUUAGAACGUCGUGAGACAGUUCGGUCCCUAUCUGCCGUGGGCGCUGGAGAAUUGAGGGGGGCUGCUCCUAGUACGAGAGGACCGGAGUGGACGCAUCACUGGUGUUCGGGUUGUCAUGCCAAUGGCACUGCCCGGUAGCUAAAUGCGGAAGAGAUAAGUGCUGAAAGCAUCUAAGCACGAAACUUGCCCCGAGAUGAGUUCUCCCUGACUCCUUGA